RNAcentral lists this transfer RNA (75 nucleotides) under Candidatus Undinarchaeales archaeon. RNAcentral's name for it is "tRNA-Val". It matches the Rfam family "tRNA". From Rfam's summary of the family: Transfer RNA (tRNA) molecules are approximately 80 nucleotides in length. Their secondary structure includes four short double-helical elements and three loops (D, anti-codon, and T loops). Lineage: Archaea; Nanobdellati; Candidatus Undinarchaeota; Candidatus Undinarchaeia; Candidatus Undinarchaeales. The record is from RNAcentral.
GGGCCUGUGGUCUAGUUGGUCCAUGACAUCCGCCUUACUAGCGGGGGAUCGCCGGUUCGAAUCCGGCCGGGCCCA